RNAcentral lists this ribosomal RNA (773 nucleotides) under uncultured Actinomyces sp. Its description in RNAcentral is "bacterial SSU rRNA". It matches the Rfam family "Bacterial small subunit ribosomal RNA", at positions 28 to 776 of the family's 1533-position model. The record is from RNAcentral. Lineage: Bacteria; Bacillati; Actinomycetota; Actinomycetes; Actinomycetales; Actinomycetaceae.
GACGAACGCUGGCGGCGUGCUUAACACAUGCAAGUCGAACGGUGAAGCGCUUGCCUUUUUGGUGGGUGUGGAUGAGUGGCGAACGGGUGAGUAACACGUGAGUAACCUGCCCUCUUCUUCUGGAUAACCUCAUGAAAGUGGGGCUAAUACGGGGUAUUCCGGGUCUGUCGCAUGGCGGGUUUGGGAAAGAUUGCGCCUUUGGGUGUUUUCGGUGGGGGAUGGGCUCGCGGCCUAUCAGCUUGUUGGUGGGGUGAUGGCCUACCAAGGCGGUGACGGGUAGCCGGCCUGAGAGGGUGGACGGCCACACUGGGACUGAGACACGGCCCAGACUCCUGCGGGAGGCAGCAGUGGGGAAUAUUGCACAAUGGGCGCAAGCCUGAUGCAGCGACGCCGCGUGAGGGAUGGAGGCCUUCGGGUUGUGAACCUCUUUCGCCAGUGAAGCAGGCCUGCUCCUGUGUGGGUGGGUUGACGGUAGCUGGAUAAGAAGCGCCGGCUAACUACGUGCCAGCAGCCGCGGUAAUACGUAGGGCGCGAGCGUUGUCCGGAAUUAUUGGGCGUAAAGGGCUUGUAGGCGGUUGGUCGCGUCUGCCGUGAAAUCCUCUGGCUUAACUGGGGGCGUGCGGUGGGUACGGGCNGACUUGAGUGCGGUAGGGGAGACUGGAACUCCUGGUGUAGCGGUGGAAUGCGCAGAUAUCAGGAAGAACACCGGUGGCGAAGGCGGGUCUCUGGGCCGUUACUGACGCUGAGGAGCGAAAGCGUGGGGAGCGAACAGG